RNAcentral lists this ribosomal RNA (464 nucleotides) under Vreelandella stevensii. RNAcentral describes it as "partial 16S ribosomal RNA". It matches the Rfam family "Bacterial small subunit ribosomal RNA", at positions 338 to 795 of the family's 1533-position model. The record is from RNAcentral. Lineage: Bacteria; Pseudomonadati; Pseudomonadota; Gammaproteobacteria; Oceanospirillales; Halomonadaceae.
CCUACGGGAGGCAGCAGUGGGGAAUAUUGGACAAUGGGGGCAACCCUGAUCCAGCCAUGCCGCGUGUGUGAAGAAGGCCCUCGGGUUGUAAAGCACUUUCAGUGAGGAAGAACGCCUGGUGGUUAAUACCCAUCAGGAAAGACAUCACUCACAGAAGAAGCACCGGCUAACUCCGUGCCAGCAGCCGCGGUAAUACGGAGGGUGCGAGCGUUAAUCGGAAUUACUGGGCGUAAAGCGCGCGUAGGUGGCUUGAUAAGCCGGUUGUGAAAGCCCCGGGCUCAACCUGGGAACGGCAUCCGGAACUGUCAAGCUAGAGUGCAGGAGAGGAAGGUAGAAUUCCCGGUGUAGCGGUGAAAUGCGUAGAGAUCGGGAGGAAUACCAGUGGCGAAGGCGGCCUUCUGGACUGACACUGACACUGAGGUGCGAAAGCGUGGGUAGCAAACAGGAUUAGAUACCCGGUAGUC